Molecule: ribosomal RNA, 327 nt
Filed under: uncultured bacterium
Lineage: Bacteria
Description: bacterial SSU rRNA
Rfam family: Bacterial small subunit ribosomal RNA
Source: RNAcentral
GAUGAACGCUGGCGGCGUGCUUAACACAUGCAAGUCGAACGGAGUGCUCAUGACGGAGGUAUUCGUCCAACGGAUUGAGUUACUUAGUGGCGGACGGGUGAGUAACGCGUGAGGAACCUGCCUCGGAGUGGGGAAUAACAGCCCGAAAGGGUUGCUAAUACCGCAUGAUGCAGCUGGGUCGCAUGAUACAGUUAGGAAAGGAGCAAUCCGCUAAUAGAUGGGCUUGCGUCUGAUUAGCUAGUUGGUGGGGUAACGGCCUACCAAGGCGACGAUCAGUAGCCGGACUGAGAGGUUGAACGGCCACAUUGGGACUGAGAUACGGCCCAG